UACGGAGGGUGCGAGCGUUAUCCGGAAUCACUGGGUUUAAAGGGUGCGUAGGCGGUGAGGUAAGUCAGUUGUGAAAUUCACCGGCUCAACCGGUCGGAGUGCGAUUGAUACUGCUUUACUUGAAUCAGGUUGAGGUGAGCGGAAUGUGGCAUGUAGCGGUGAAAUGCAUAGAUAUGCCAUAGAACACCGAUUGCGAAGGCAGCUUGCUGGGCCUUGAUUGACGCUGAGGCACGAAAGCGUGGGGAGCAAACAGG
Molecule: ribosomal RNA, 254 nt
Filed under: uncultured bacterium
Lineage: Bacteria
Description: partial 16S ribosomal RNA
Rfam family: Bacterial small subunit ribosomal RNA
Source: RNAcentral